GACGAACGCUGGCGGCGUGCUUAACACAUGCAAGUCGAACGGAAAGGCUCUGCUUUUGUGGGGUGCUCGAGUGGCGAACGGUUGAGUAACACGUGAGUAACCUGCCCUUGACUUUGGGAUAACUUCAGGAAACUGUGGCUAAUACCGGAUAGGAGCUCCUGCUGCAUGGUGGGGGUUGGAAAGUUUCGGCGGUUGUGGAUGGACUCGCGGCUUAUUGGUUUGUUGGUGGGGUACUGGCUUACCAAGGCUUUGACGGGUAGCCGGCCUGAGAGGGUGACCGGCCAAAGUGGGACUGAGAGAAGGCCCAGACUCCUACGGGAGGCAGCAGUGGGGAAUAUUGCACAAGGGGCGGAAGCCUGAGGCAGCAACGCCGCGGGCGGGAUGACGGCCUUCGGGUUGUAAACCGCUUUCGCCUGUGACGAAGAGUGAGUGACGGUAAUGGGUAAAGAAGCACCGGCUAACUACGUG
This 468-nucleotide ribosomal RNA is filed under the name uncultured bacterium. Its description in RNAcentral is "partial 16S ribosomal RNA". It matches the Rfam family "Bacterial small subunit ribosomal RNA", at positions 28 to 507 of the family's 1533-position model. The record is from RNAcentral.